RNAcentral lists this long non-coding RNA (352 nucleotides) under Stylophora pistillata. RNAcentral describes it as "uncharacterized LOC111343995". The record is from RNAcentral. Lineage: Eukaryota; Metazoa; Cnidaria; Anthozoa; Scleractinia; Pocilloporidae.
CGUUCUGUUUUCACUCAGCGGCUGGCCAGCGGUCCGUGUAUGAGGUAAACAUGGCGAUCCCUUACUGAACACCGUUCUUGUCGAUCAGAAAAUCAAAAUACCAGCAUGAUAUUGCCUCGAAGAAGAAGCAGUUGUGUUAUUUGAUUCGUACUUCACAUUUGAGUCCAAGCUUGGGUGACACAGGUUAUUUCUUAUGGUGGACUGACGAGGGGAAUUUGAACACUAGUUGUGUUUGAAUUGUUGGAAGAAAUGGUCGCAUGGGAAUGUAGGAAUGAUCUACCUGCUCGAUUUGUGUCUGCAACGCUUCAUGUUGAUAAGUCCCUCAAAAUGGCGGCCAAACUUGGAGAUUGCC